UACGGAGGAUGCGAGCGUUAUCCGGAUUUAUUGGGUUUAAAGGGUGCGUAGGCGGAUCGUUAAGUCAGUGGUCAAAUUGAGGGGCUCAACCCCUUCCCGCCAUUGAAACUGGCAAUCUUGAGUGGAAGAGAAGUAUGCGGAAUGCGUGGUGUAGCGGUGAAAUGCAUAGAUAUCACGCAGAACCCCGAUUGCGAAGGCAGCAUGCCGGCUUCCUACUGACGCUGAAGCACGAAAGCGUGGGGAUCGAACAGG
RNAcentral lists this ribosomal RNA (252 nucleotides) under uncultured bacterium. RNAcentral describes it as "partial 16S ribosomal RNA". It matches the Rfam family "Bacterial small subunit ribosomal RNA", at positions 524 to 776 of the family's 1533-position model. The record is from RNAcentral.